Molecule: ribosomal RNA, 366 nt
Filed under: Triticum aestivum (bread wheat)
Lineage: Eukaryota; Viridiplantae; Streptophyta; Magnoliopsida; Poales; Poaceae
Description: partial small subunit ribosomal RNA
Source: RNAcentral
AUGAGUUACUUAUGUUGGAACUGCCGUGGGGCUGGCAAACCCACGAUAGUCCGAGAGCUUCGUGAUCUAGCGAGGCAACUUGCCCCCUCGAUCCUAUGUAUUGUUGAAACUCAAAUCGAGGGCUCCAGGGUGGAGAAUACGGUUGUAGCUUUAGGAUAUAAUAAAAGUUUUGCUGUUAGUAGCUCCGGGAGGAGUGGAGGUCUUGGAAUAUUUUGGAAUGAAGAAAUAAAGCUUGAAAUUUUAGUUUAUUCGAAGUAUCAUAUUGAUGUCUUGGUUGGCGAGCUCUUUGAUAUACAAACUAGAUUUACUUUCGUGUACAGUGAAGCUCAAGUUAGCGAACGCUACAAAACAUGGGACACACUAUGA